Molecule: ribosomal RNA, 221 nt
Filed under: Acinetobacter sp. ACNIH3
Lineage: Bacteria; Pseudomonadati; Pseudomonadota; Gammaproteobacteria; Moraxellales; Moraxellaceae
Description: partial 16S ribosomal RNA
Rfam family: Bacterial small subunit ribosomal RNA
Source: RNAcentral
UAAACUGAAGAGUUUGAUCAUGGCUCAGAUUGAACGCUGGCGGCAGGCUUAACACAUGCAAGUCGAGCGGAGCGAGGGUGCUUGCACCUUAGCUUAGCGGCGGACGGGUGAGUAAUGCUUAGGAAUCUGCCUAUUAGUGGGGGACAACAUUCCGAAAGGAAUGCUAAUACCGCAUACGCCCUACGGGGGAAAGCAGGGGAUCUUCGGACCUUGCGCUAAUA